CGUCAACGGUCAGCUUUGUGCCAAUGCCACUCGGUAAACGCCGAUGUCGCGUACGACAAAGACGACUAUCCCGUACGCGAAAUAGUUGAGAACUGCAUGACGUGGACCUGACGGCAAGGACAACUGCGAGGAGGCCCCUUUCCGUACCCCGUACUGCAAAGUGCCAUUGAUGGAUGCCUUUUGCACCUGGAACGACCCCUUAAAGGGGAACUCCACGAAAAAAUGAAACUUUGAUAGCCUGUAGAGUUUCGGGCGCUGAGUCGAAUGGUCUUGGUCCGAAGUCUCUACGACGAAGCGUUCUUGAGAUAUUUCACUUUGAAAUUGCAAAAACGGGGGCCGCGCCCUGACGUCAUGCGGCCAUUUGGUUACAUCAUCACGGGCUGCCUACGUCAUUGUGGCAAAGUCGUUUCUCUUCGCCAGUCUACAAGCACUAAUUUUAGUUGGUAUUUCAAGGGAAGAUGGGCGAUUCCGAACAAUCCUCUGUCCCCAGCAAUGAAGGCAGCGAUGCUGAGGCCAGUGAGGACGACCAACAGCCCACCGCCGCGUAUGGUUGGGGCAGGGAGCCCAGAUACUGUGCUGAGGAGCUGCCAUCGCGUGUAACAAAUGUGGAGGAAGAAGAUGCGUCAGCAGCUGCGUCCGGCAGAAGACGAGUAGCUUGGCCACCAGAAUCUCGAUUCGUUUGGGACUCCGACUGGUGCGAGCGUGGACAAAAGUGUAUAGCCAUGCCCAGCCCGCGGGAAUGAUUUUGCUGGUAGGAUGCUGCCGUCGCUGUCGACAAGACGGCCCAAGGUUUCUUGCGUAGCGGACCUCACAGAUUACGAGAUCGUAUCCUUGCAUUAGGCUGUGCUCAUCACUGCUCUUCGAGGUUAUCUCGACAUGCAGAAGCCGCCAAUGCCAGUGACAGAAGAGUCUGACAUUAGAUCUCUACGCUAUGCGGCACACAGGCAGUACACACUAUGUACACGGCAAAUUGGGCAAGCACGUUCGUUGUCGUCUUCCAGCCUGCGUUGUGAAUACCAUCAGGCAAAGAUAUCCAAAUCCUGCACCACCUCAGCCUUCUCAGGAGGCUUCCACCUUGAAUUUGGCAGGGAAACACGCUUCUCCAAGGCAGGAACAUGGAGGUUGCCAUUUGCAACCGCUACCACCUCACACAUGAGCUUGUCAACAUACUCAUAGCUCUUUCUGUCGUAUAAUUUUCUAUUUGGCCACAGUCUUCUUUAUGCUUUGAGAACUGGACUUUAUACCUUCCUAUCGCGGUCUUUUUGGUUGUGCUGUGGCGACGGUUGACAUUGACGUCGUCAAGAGCUGCGAGAUGUGCGUGUCCAAUCAUCCCCAGAAUUGAGAAACGAAUGCGUUUGAGAAUGUAGUUUGGCAUGACACUGUGAUAUACCUGCAUGGCAAAAAGAAUGUGGAGAAAACAAACUUGCUUAGACAAUAAUUAUACUGCUGUAUGAGAAAAUGGAAACUUCACCGUACAGGACGACUCUUGUUCUCAAUUGCAUUGUUCGUUUCAUUCCCUGUGUUGCCCAUAAGAGACGGGAGCAAAAAUGUUGCAGCAGAUGUUUGUUGUCUUCUGGCGUGGAGUGGCGGCGUCAUUAGAUGUACACAUAGUCAUUUCACUAAGUAUACCACUACUACAGCAUAUGUACUAUCCUUAGGCUAGCGUGCGUGCGAGUGAGUUUGAGUAUGUGGGUGCGUAUGUGUGUGUGUUGUUGUGUUUGUGUGUGUGCACGCACACGCACGCGCGCGCAUGUGGGUGAUGGUGUGAGUGCAUGUGUAUAAUAUGUGUAGUUCCCACUGUAUUCCUUGCACAAUAGGUCUUCACUUACUUUUCUUUCGCAUACAACCAGAACCCAUUCCUUGUUCGAAAUUAGAUUUUUUUGGCCUGGUGAUCCCGCAAGCGUGGAACUCGGAGUGUAAUAUAUUUUUGUUUCACUUUACUUGCACUAUUCCAAGGCUGUCCAGACUUCUAACAACUGCUCUGAGUGAUUAUGGUAUUCAUGCAACCAUGCCUAGAAGUAGGGUAGCUGUUAUAAAUAGAGACAUAUCCACGCAAUCAACUUACACUGGUUCAGUUUGGCAGGAUUGGUGAGACAGUUCGUCGUGCAUGCUGCCUGCACAUCGCAAGCAAACAGUUCUGUAACCUUCGUACUUGCUGGGGGUCUGUCUGUUUGCGUCCCAGUUGAUGAAAGAUGCGCACAGUUUGAGUACUGGUAUGCGCAAAGUUACUGGGGUAAUAUCGUUCAUCAGCUAGCUGCAGUCGGAGUUGAUGGGGUGAUGUACUCUUCUGAUCCUGAUGGGACGUAUCUCGCCCUGCUUUCUCAGUUGCAGCUUGUUGAGUUCGCUUUGCUGGAGGCUCACGGUUCGGAGGGCACUGGUACACUGAUGAGGGCUUUCCUGGACGGCGUACUCGUCAAAACUCAGCUCUCAAGUCCCUCUGGAUCAUAAAUGCAGCGAGCAAACAUAGCUCGUGCUGCGAAAAUAGGCUUGAAAUGUUCACGACGCAUUGCAACAUCUCGGCGCUUUGCCAGGUCUCCAUCCUUUGGGAAUUUGAGAAAACUAACCCCAGGAGGAUGAUGUGAUACUGGCACAAUCAACAACACAACAAUUUGGCAUUGCAGCGGCUCAGGCGACUUGGCAAACUACUUUCUGAAGUGACUUUCGUCCUGAAGAAAGUGAGAUUCAAAAUCCAAGUAUUUUCGCACAUUGCCACAAUGACGUCACACAUACAUUGGUAUGGGGCGUGGCUAAAAUUGAAAUAUCUCAAGAACGCUUUCUCGUAGAGACUUCGGACCAAGACCAUUCGACUCAGCGCCCGAAACUCUACAGGCUAUCAAAUUUUCAUUUUUUCGUGGAGUUCCCCUUUAAACGCUGUCGCGGCGACUGCCCCGUACGCGAAAUAGUUGAGAACUGCUGAAGUGGACCUUUUGCACCUGGAACGGCCCCGUCAACGCUGUCGUGUCGGCGGAGUGAAUGUGCAGGGUGAAAAUAAUUGCUGCAAAGACGUCCGGUCUAGGCCUUUGGAGACAUCGUGGGAACUCCUUCCGGUACUAUACAAACUGCUGACGUGGCCGUGGACAUGUACAUGGAGACAUGGUGGGACUUCAUGUACAUGGAUACAUGGUGGGAAUUCCUUCCGGCACCCCCGUACCGCAAAGCCAACGGUGGGGAAGGAGAAGUGCAGACGUGCAGGAAGACGAACGAGGACGAACCAGGACGAGCGAGCAAUGGCAGGACUAGGGGGACUGUAAGUAAUAGCUGAAUUGUGCAUGACAACUUGACAUCCAUGCGGCACUCGCCACUUGCCACUGCAUAUUUCUUGUCCACUAACAAUGUCUCUCCUCUGCCCCUGUGUGUCCACGGCCCUGUUGCUGAACUGGCCCGAUGAAUCGAAUGUCUUCCGCAACUGGAACGGCCCCGUAAACGCUGUCGCGUCGGCGACUGAAUGCGCAGGAGGGAAAAUAUUGGUGCGAAGACGUCUCCUCUAGACGACGGUCGCCAUAGUUUCAAUCGCCACGCAUCACUUGGCCAUUGAAGCAGCGUCGACAGCAUUGAUGCAAUUAAAAAUGUUUCGUCCGAAAGCCAAUGUGUUGAAUUAAGUCUGCUGAAGUGCUAUUGCACAACAUGUCCGUGUUUGCUCUCCUCUGCGCGCGUGUCUGUGUGUGUGUGCAUGUGUGUGUAUGUGUGUGUGUGUAUGUGUGUGUGUGUGUGUGUGUGUGUAUGUGUGUGUGUAUGUGUGUGUGUGUGUGUGUAUGUGUGUGUGUAUGUGUGUGUGCGUGUGUGUGUAUGUGUGUGUGUGUAUGUGUGUGUGUGUGUGUGUGUGUGUGCGCGCGUUCAUUUAUGUCUUCCCUUGUGCGUGUGUUGGGGGGGGGGGAAGGUGUGCCGUGGUCUCACUGGCCCCGUCACUGACGACAGAGAUUUCGGCGCAUGCGCGGGCCGUGGUGCGGCCCACGGUUGCCGCAAUGUGCAUGUGCGCUUAUGCACCCCUGUCUACAACAAUGCGUACUGUUGUGCUUCCGUUUGUCCGUGUGUCUCUUCACGCCUCUGCCUGUGCGUAUGUACAUUGGUCCAUGUCACGUCAACUGUACGCGUGUCUGCGUGAGUGUAUACACGUAUGUGCAGUCGGGCAGCAUGACCUGCUGAUCAGGAGGUGUGUGCCAGUGCCACGCACUGCCGAAGCACGGGUGCUCACAGCUGGCUAUGUGACCACCCUACUGCAAUGUCCCAUUGCGACGGGACGGAGUUGGGGCUCGACACCAUAUCAAUGCCCACUCUAAAACUCACCCGUUACACUGGAACGUUCAAC
Molecule: long non-coding RNA, 4306 nt
Organism: Sycon ciliatum
Lineage: Eukaryota; Metazoa; Porifera; Calcarea; Leucosolenida; Sycettidae
Exons: 3
Source: RefSeq, a predicted model, not a curated record